Molecule: microRNA precursor, 140 nt
Filed under: Hordeum vulgare
Lineage: Eukaryota; Viridiplantae; Streptophyta; Magnoliopsida; Poales; Poaceae
Description: microRNA MIR1122
Rfam family: MIR1120/MIR1122 microRNA precursor family
Source: RNAcentral
AACAUACUCCCUCCGUCCCAAAAUUCUUGUCUUAGAUUUGUUUAAAUAUGAAUGUAUCUAGUCACGUUUUAGUAUUUAGAUACAUCCAUUUCUAGACAAGCCUAAGACAAAAAAAAAAAUUAGGACGGAGGGAGUAGUAA